This is a long non-coding RNA of Esox lucius (northern pike), 522 nucleotides long. RefSeq lists it as uncharacterized. Lineage: Eukaryota; Metazoa; Chordata; Actinopteri; Esociformes; Esocidae. The transcript has 3 exons. The record is from RefSeq and is a predicted model, not a curated record.
UGUGCACCAAAAACCUCUGUGAAUAUGAGUUGUUGUCAGAUUCUACUCUUGCUACGUUAUGAUCAGAGAUUCAGGGAGAUAAGAAUCCCUAAUGAGGGGGCGGGACUAACAGUCAGAUGUAGCAAUCAAGCCCAGAGCAGCAGAUAGAAUCUGACUAUGAAAGCGGUUUGGACCUCCAUAAGCUCCACCCACAUGAGAUCGAAAUAUCAAGUUGUUUUAUAGUUUAUGUGAAAAAAGGAAAGGAACCAGGUAAGCCUAGCUCGGAUGGCCCGCGAUUAAAAAGGAUGAAUGUUGUUGCCCUGAAUUAAUUUGAACCUAGGUUAUUCCGGUCCAGGCUUCGUGGAGUAGUGGUUAAAGACAUAGCCUCACACAUGGGCGACGACCUAUACAGUGUCAGUAUAGCAUCUCGACUCUAGAUCAUUUUGUCACGCAUUAACGUUAUGUCAAGUUUGAAUAUUUUGCUAGACACCUUUAAGUAUUGUGUUGAACUGACCAACAUUUCUUAUUAAGUUUACCUCCACC